UACGUAGGGGGCAAGCGUUGUCCGGAUUUACUGGGCGUAAAGAGCGUGUAGGCGGCCAAACAGGUCCGUUGUGAAAACUGGAGGCUUAACCUCCAGACGUCGACGGAAACCGUGUGGCUAGAGUCCGGAAGAGGAGAGUGGAAUUCCUGGUGUAGCGGUGAAAUGCGCAGAUAUCAGGAAGAACACCAAUGGCGAAGGCAGCUCUCUGGGACGGUACUGACGCUGAGGUACGAAAGCUAGGGGAGCGAACAGG
RNAcentral lists this ribosomal RNA (253 nucleotides) under uncultured bacterium. Its description in RNAcentral is "partial 16S ribosomal RNA". It matches the Rfam family "Bacterial small subunit ribosomal RNA", at positions 524 to 776 of the family's 1533-position model. The record is from RNAcentral.